Molecule: transfer RNA, 122 nt
Filed under: Histoplasma ohiense
Lineage: Eukaryota; Fungi; Ascomycota; Eurotiomycetes; Onygenales; Ajellomycetaceae
Rfam family: tRNA
About the family: Transfer RNA (tRNA) molecules are approximately 80 nucleotides in length. Their secondary structure includes four short double-helical elements and three loops (D, anti-codon, and T loops).
Source: Rfam by way of RNAcentral
GGCACUAUGGCGGAGUGGUUAACGCGAUGCCCUGCUAUUUUAAAUCCCAAAUCGCAGAAUAUUAUCCUUUCCUGGUUAAGGCAUUUCCUUCGGGAGCGCAGGUUCGAAUCCUGCUGGUGUCG